Molecule: ribosomal RNA, 301 nt
Filed under: uncultured bacterium
Lineage: Bacteria
Description: partial 16S ribosomal RNA
Rfam family: Bacterial small subunit ribosomal RNA
Source: RNAcentral
CAGUAGCCGCGGUAAUACGAAAGGUCCAAGCGUUACUCGGAAUUACUGGGCGUAAAGCGCGCGUAGGCGGCUUUGUAUGUCGAUUGUGAAAGCCCCGGGCUCAACCUGGGAACUGCAGUCGAAACUGCAAAGCUUGAAUGUUGGAGAGGUUGGGGGAAUACCUAGUGGAGAAGUGAAAUUCGUAGAGAUUAGGUGGAACACCAGAGGCGAAGGCGCCUGACUGGCCAAACAUUGACGCUGAGGCGCGAAAGCGUGGGUAGCAAACAGGAUUAGAUACCCGGGUAGUCCCUGUCUCUUAUAC